Odocoileus virginianus texanus is the source of this 5760-nucleotide non-coding RNA. Lineage: Eukaryota; Metazoa; Chordata; Mammalia; Artiodactyla; Cervidae. The record is from RefSeq and is a predicted model, not a curated record.
GUGUUUUCCAUACUUGACCCUAUAAAAGUACCCUGGGGAUGAGUAUGACUUGUCUUUCCUCAUAAAGCUUCAAGUUCUGACCCACUUCAAGGUUGCAUCUCCAAGGCAGGGUCUUUGACUGGGCUGCCAUCAAUAAACUGCAGCCAUGAGUUCAGACCAGGAAAUGGCUAUUUUUGGGGAGGCUGCUCCUUACCUCCGAAAGUCUGAAAAGGAGCGCAUUGAGGCCCAGAAUAAGCCUUUUGAUGCCAAGACCUCGGUCUUUGUGGCGGACCCUAAGGAGUCCUUUGUGAAAGCAACCGUGCAGAGCAGAGAAGGGGGGAAGGUGACAGCCAAGACCGAAGCUGGAGCGACAGUAACUGUGAAAGAAGACCAAGUCUUCCCCAUGAACCCUCCCAAGUUCGACAAGAUCGAGGACAUGGCCAUGAUGACCCACCUGCAUGAGCCCGCUGUGCUCUAUAACCUCAAAGAGCGUUAUGCGGCCUGGAUGAUCUAUACUUACUCAGGCCUCUUCUGUGUCACUGUCAACCCCUACAAGUGGCUGCCGGUGUACAAUGCAGAGGUGGUGACGGCCUACCGAGGCAAAAAGCGCCAGGAGGCCCCGCCCCACAUCUUCUCCAUCUCUGACAACGCCUAUCAGUUCAUGCUGACUGAUCGGGAGAAUCAGUCUAUCUUGAUCACCGGAGAAUCCGGGGCUGGGAAGACUGUGAACACGAAGCGUGUCAUCCAGUACUUUGCAACAAUUGCAGUCACUGGGGAGAAGAAGAAGGAGGAACCAACUUCAGGCAAAAUGCAGGGGACUCUGGAGGAUCAGAUCAUCAGUGCCAAUCCCCUGCUGGAGGCCUUUGGCAACGCCAAGACCGUGAGGAAUGACAACUCCUCUCGCUUUGGUAAAUUCAUCAGGAUCCACUUCGGUACCACAGGGAAACUGGCUUCUGCUGAUAUUGAAACAUAUCUUCUGGAGAAGUCUAGAGUCACUUUCCAGCUGAAGGCAGAAAGAAGCUACCAUAUUUUUUAUCAGAUCAUGUCUAACAAGAAGCCAGAGCUAAUUGGUACGAAAUGGGGCAGUAAUGCAUUAUGGGAACCUGAAAUUCAAGCAAAAGCAGCGUGAGGAGCAAGCAGAACCAGAUGGCACUGAAGUUGCUGACAAGGCCGCCUACCUCCAGGGUCUGAACUCUGCUGACCUGCUCAAAGCUCUCUGCUACCCCAGAGUCAAGGUCGGCAAUGAGUUUGUCACCAAAGGCCAGACUGUGCAGCAGGUAUAUAAUGCAGUGGGUGCUCUGGCCAAAGCCGUCUAUGAUAAGAUGUUCCUGUGGAUGGUCACCCGCAUCAACCAGCAGUUGGACACCAAGCAGCCCAGGCAGUACUUCAUCGGGGUCUUGGACAUCGCUGGCUUUGAGAUCUUUGAUUUCAACAGCCUGGAGCAGCUGUGCAUCAACUUCACCAAUGAGAAACUGCAACAGUUUUUCAACCACCACAUGUUCGUGCUGGAGCAGGAGGAGUACAAGAAGGAAGGCAUCGAGUGGGAGUUCAUCGACUUCGGGAUGGACCUGGCCGCCUGCAUCGAGCUCAUCGAGAAGCCUAUGGGCAUCUUCUCCAUCCUGGAAGAGGAGUGCAUGUUCCCCAAGGCCACAGACACCUCCUUCAAGAACAAGCUUUAUGAACAGCAUCUUGGAAAGUCCAACAACUUCCAGAAGCCCAAACCUGCCAAGGGCAAGACUGAGGCCCACUUCUCCCUCAUUCACUAUGCGGGAACAGUGGACUACAACAUCACUGGCUGGCUGGACAAGAACAAGGACCCCCUGAAUGAGACGGUGGUUGGGCUGUACCAGAAGUCUUCAGUGAAGACUCUGGCUUUCCUGUUCUCUGGCGCAACAUCUGCUGAAGCAGAGGGCGGUGGAAAGAAAGGUGGCAAGAAGAAGGGUUCUUCUUUCCAGACCGUGUCUGCUCUUUUCAGGGAGAAUCUGAAUAAGCUGAUGACCAACCUGAGGAGCACUCACCCCCACUUUGUACGCUGCAUCAUCCCCAAUGAAACUAAAACUCCUGGGGCCAUGGAGCACGAGCUGGUCCUGCACCAGCUGAGGUGUAACGGGGUGCUGGAGGGCAUCCGCAUCUGUAGGAAGGGCUUCCCCAGCAGAAUCCUGUAUGCAGACUUCAAACAGAGAUACAAGGUAUUAAAUGCAAGUGCGAUCCCUGAAGGACAAUUCAUCGACAGCAAGAAGGCUUCUGAGAAGCUCCUUGGGUCCAUUGACGUUGAUCACACCCAGUAUAAAUUUGGUCACACCAAGGUCUUUUUCAAAGCUGGUCUUCUGGGGCUCCUAGAGGAGAUGCGAGAUGAAAAGCUGGCCCAGCUGAUGACCCGAACCCAGGCCAGGUGCAGAGGGUUCUUGGCAAGAGUGGAGUACCAGAAGAUGGUGGAGAGGAGAGAAUCCAUCUUCUGCAUCCAGUACAAUGUCCGUGCUUUCAUGAACGUCAAGCACUGGCCCUGGAUGAAGCUGUAUUUCAAGAUCAAGCCCCUCCUCAAGAGUGCAGAGACAGAGAAGGAAAUGGCCAACAUGAAGGAAGAAUUUGAGAAGACCAAAGAAGAGCUGGCUAAGUCAGAAGCAAAAAGGAAAGAACUUGAAGAGAAAAUGGUGACUCUGACACAAGAGAAAAAUGACCUGCAGCUCCAGGUUCAGUCUGAAGCUGAUGCCUUGGCUGAUGCAGAGGAAAGAUGUGACCAGCUGAUUAAAACCAAAAUCCAGCUGGAGGCUAAGAUCAAGGAGGUGACUGAGAGAGCUGAGGAUGAGGAGGAGAUCAAUGCUGAGCUGACGGCCAAGAAGAGGAAACUGGAGGACGAAUGUUCGGAACUGAAGAAAGACAUAGAUGACCUUGAACUGACACUGGCCAAGGUUGAGAAAGAGAAACAUGCUACAGAGAACAAGGUAUGAAAUACACUUCUCUACAGCAUAUAGAGACUCCGCCAUCUAAUUAGGCUGCUUUACGGCAGAGAUCAUCUCUUUCUUAACCNUAGGAACUCCCGAAAAAAAUUCUAUGCGACACCAUCUUUCAAUUCGUAGGAGUACUAAUAUGUCUUGUUCUUCUGUCUAAAGGAAAGAAUUUGAAAUCAGCAAUCUGCUAAGCAAAAUUGAAGAUGAGCAGGCAGUAGAAAUUCAACUACAGAAGAAGAUCAAAGAGUUGCAGGCCCGCAUCGAGGAGCUGGAGGAGGAGAUCGAGGCCGAGCGCGCCUCCCGCGCCAAAGCAGAGAAGCAGCGCUCAGACCUCUCCCGGGAACUGGAGGAGAUCAGCGAGCGGCUGGAAGAAGCCGGCGGGGCCACUUCUGCCCAGAUUGAGAUGAACAAGAAGCGCGAGGCCGAGUUCCAGAAGAUGCGCCGGGACCUGGAGGAGGCCACACUGCAGCAUGAGGCCACGGCAGCCGCUCUUCGCAAGAAGCACGCGGACAGUGUGGCCGAGCUGGGGGAGCAGAUAGACAACCUGCAGAGGGUCAAGCAGAAGCUGGAGAAGGAGAAGAGCGAGAUGAAGAUGGAGAUCGACGACCUGGCCAGCAACAUGGAGACUGUCUCCAAAGCCAAGGGAAACCUCGAAAAGAUGUGCCGCACUCUAGAGGAUCAACUGAGUGAACUUAAGACAAAGGAGGAUGAGCAGCAGCGGCUGAUCAAUGACCUGACGACUCAGAGAGCGCGUCUACAGACAGAAUCAGGUGAAUUCUCACGCCAGCUAGAUGAGAAGGAUGCACUAGUUUCUCAGCUCUCGAGGGGCAAACAAGCAUUCACACAACAGAUUGAAGAACUGAAAAGGCAGUUGGAAGAGGAGAUAAAGGCCAAGAGUGCCCUGGCCCACGCCCUGCAGUCAGCCCGUCAUGACUGUGACCUGCUGCGGGAACAGUAUGAGGAGGAGCAGGAGGGUAAGGCCGAGCUGCAGAGGGCGAUGUCCAAGGCCAACAGCGAGGUGGCCCAGUGGAGGACCAAGUACGAGACGGACGCCAUCCAGCGCACGGAGGAGCUGGAGGAAGCCAAGAAGAAGCUGGCCCAGCGUCUGCAGGAUGCCGAGGAACACGUAGAAGCGGUGAACGCCAAAUGCGCCUCCCUUGAGAAGACCAAGCAGAGGCUCCAGAAUGAGGUUGAGGACCUCAUGGUUGACGUGGAGAGGACAAACGCUGCCUGUGCAGCCCUGGACAAAAAGCAAAGGAACUUCGACAAGAUCCUAUCAGAAUGGAAACAGAAGUAUGAAGAAACUCAUGCUGAACUUGAAGCCUCCCAGAAGGAGUCUCGCUCCCUUAGCACAGAGCUGUUCAAGAUCAAGAAUGCCUAUGAGGAGUCCUUAGACCAACUGGAAACCUUGAAGCGGGAAAAUAAGAACUUGCAACAGGAGAUCUCUGACCUUACGGAGCAGAUCGCAGAAGGAGGGAAACGUAUCCAUGAACUGGAGAAAGUAAAGAAGCAAGUGGAGCAAGAGAAAUCUGAAAUUCAGGCUGCUUUAGAGGAGGCAGAGGCAUCUCUUGAACAUGAAGAGGGAAAGAUCCUGCGUAUCCAGCUGGAGCUGAACCAGGUCAAGUCUGAAAUUGACAGGAAAAUUGCUGAAAAGGAUGAGGAAAUUGACCAGCUCAAGAGGAACCACAUUAGAGUGGUGGAGUCCAUGCAGAGCACGUUGGAUGCUGAGAUCAGGAGCAGGAAUGACGCCAUCAGGCUCAAGAAGAAGAUGGAAGGAGACCUCAAUGAAAUGGAGAUCCAGCUGAACCACGCCAACCGCAUGGCUGCUGAGGCCCUGAAGAAUUACAGGAACACCCAAGCCAUCCUCAAGGAUACCCAGCUCCACCUGGAUGAUGCUCUGCGGGGCCAGGAGGACCUGAAGGAGCAGCUGGCCAUGGUGGAGCGCAGAGCCAACCUGCUGCAGGCUGAGAUCGAGGAGCUGCGGGCCACCCUGGAGCAGACGGAGAGGAGCAGGAAGAUGGCGGAGCAGGAGCUCCUGGAUGCCAGUGAGCGCGUCCAGCUCCUGCACACCCAGAACACCAGCCUGAUCAACACCAAGAAGAAGCUAGAGACAGACAUCACUCAAAUCCAGGGAGAGAUGGAGGACAUUGUCCAGGAAGCUCGCAACGCUGAAGAGAAAGCCAAGAAGGCCAUCACUGAUGCAGCCAUGAUGGCCGAGGAGCUGAAGAAGGAGCAGGACACCAGCGCCCACCUGGAGCGGAUGAAGAAGAACCUGGAGCAGACGGUGAAGGACCUGCAGCACCGCCUGGAUGAGGCUGAGCAGCUGGCCCUGAAGGGCGGGAAGAAGCAGAUCCAGAAGCUGGAAGCCAGGGUACGUGAAUUGGAAGCAGAAGUUGAGAGUGAACAGAAACGCAAUGUUGAAACUGUCAAGGGUCUGCGCAAACAUGAGAGAAGAGUGAAGGAGCUCAGUUACCAGACUGAGGAGGACCGCAAGAACAUUCUCAGGCUCCAGGAUUUGGUGGAUAAACUGCAAGCAAAGGUGAAAUCUUACAAGAGACAAGCUGAGGAAGCGGAGGAACAAUCCAAUGUCAACCUCUCCAAAUUCCGUAAGCUCCAGCACGAGCUGGAAGAGGCCGAGGAACGGGCUGACAUUGCUGAGUCCCAGGUCAACAAGCUGCGGGUGAAGAGCCGGGAGGUUCACACAAAAAUCAUCAGUGAAGAGUAACUCAUCCAAAUGCUAAAAAGUGACCAAAGAAAUGCACAAAAUGUGAAAAUCUUUGUCACUCUGUUUUGUACUUAUGAUUUUUGCAGAUAAAAAAUUUAUCUGCAAAGA